This is a long non-coding RNA of Aphis gossypii (cotton aphid), 1081 nucleotides long. RefSeq lists it as uncharacterized. The transcript is spliced from 3 exons. The record is from RefSeq and is a predicted model, not a curated record. Lineage: Eukaryota; Metazoa; Arthropoda; Insecta; Hemiptera; Aphididae.
UUUCGCGCGAGUCGUUCGAUCGUACAAUAUAAUAUAUAUUACAAUGUUUAAAUGAACGAUGUCGACGUGACAACGCGAUUUUGAACUGCAUACAAAAGCGGCGCUCGAUAUGACGUCAAAUUAUUAUUAUUAUUAUUUCAUAGCAAAUUUGAAAAACUAGCUGUAUACCGUUAACUGAUGUGCGACGAAAUUUCGACAAAGCAAGUCUUGGAUGAUCCCUUAAAUCACCUCUGUGCUUCGGUUCAAGGAAACGUAUACCUACUAUAAGAUAAACACUCUUUUUUUCGAGGAUUACGACGUACCAGCCACCACGUACAUUUCACAGAUGGGACCGGAGAAUAGCUGGCUGCAACGAAUAAGAUGGCGUUUCGUACUUUAUUACUCUAAUUAUUAUUUAACUUCUAUGCUGCUCGGCUGUUCUCUUAAUUAUAUUUAACUCAACGAUGGCGUCGAUGUGAUCGAAUCUAUAUUGCGUACCUAAGUAUUACAGCAUACAAUAUGAAUAUACUGAGUGAUGCGCAAUUUUAUAUUUUUAUGAUGUAUAAAAAUUAAUUUGGAAUAUUUUUUUUUUACUUUGGUUGAAAAAAUAUAAUAAAAUAAUAUAAUAGGUGAACCUAACCUAACCUAUUUUAGUUGUAUUAUUAUUAUUUGUUGAGUUUUAUAUUUAAAAGAUACAUUAUGUACAUAGUAUAUAAUAUAUAUUAUAUAUAAGAUAUAUAAAAGUAUAAUGUGCUAAAUAUAAUGUGUGCUGUUAGGUUCUAAAUAUAUUUGUUUUACAAUGAUGUGUAUUUUUUCAACUUAAACUUUUUACUAAACAUUUGUAAUAGCAUUUUAUAAACUUAAAAUAAUUUUCAAAAUAUUUUAAUUCUUUUAGUGUUGUAUAAUAUAUAUGCAUUUAAAAUUACGAUUUAAUUACGAAAAUUAAGAUCACAAAACUUUGUAAAUUAUUUUUUAGUUAAAAAUUCAUAAAAAUUUGAUUAUUAAUUGUUAAGGUUUAGAAAUGAAUAAACAGUUUCUUAAAAUUUUCCCUUACUAGAAUAAUGAAAAAUAAGUUAAGUAUAAUUAUACCGACAAUUAUUUA